RNAcentral lists this ribosomal RNA (117 nucleotides) under Danio rerio (zebrafish). The record is from RNAcentral. Lineage: Eukaryota; Metazoa; Chordata; Actinopteri; Cypriniformes; Danionidae.
UGACACAACCAUGUCACCCUGCAGCCCAAGACCGGUUACUUACUGAAGCUAAGCAGGGCUGAGCCUGGUCAGUACCUGGAUGGGAGACCACUAGGGAACAGUAGGUUGCUGUUGGAA